GACGAACGCUGGCGGCGUGCUUAACACAUGCAAGUCGAACGGAAAGGCCCUGCUUUUGUGGGGUGCUCGAGUGGCGAACGGGUGAGUAACACGUGAGUAACCUGCCCUUGACUUUGGGAUAACUUCAGGAAACUGGGGCUAAUACCGGAUAGGAGCUCCUGCUGCAUGGUGGGGGUUGGAAAGUUUCGGCGGUUGGGGAUGGACUCGCGGCUUAUCAGCUUGUUGGUGGGGUAGUGGCUUACCAAGGCUUUGACGGGUAGCCGGCCUGAGAGGGUGACCGGCACAAUUGGGACUGAGAUACGGCCCAGCCUCCUACGGGAGGCAGCAGUGGGGAAUAUUGCACAAUGGGCGGAAGCCUGAUGCAGCACCGCCGCGUGCGGGAUGACGGCCUUCGGGUUGUAAACCGCUUUCGCCUGUGACGAAGCGUGAGUGACGGUAAUGGGUAAAGAAGCACCGGCUAACUACGUG
RNAcentral lists this ribosomal RNA (468 nucleotides) under uncultured bacterium. RNAcentral's name for it is "partial 16S ribosomal RNA". It matches the Rfam family "Bacterial small subunit ribosomal RNA", at positions 28 to 507 of the family's 1533-position model. The record is from RNAcentral.